UACAUGAUGCGAUCUUUAUCCUCAGCAUUCAGCCAACCCUUGAUAUGAUCAAACCAGGAACCAUGAAGAACUAGAAGGGAGAGAAAAUCACAUGAACUUUUGGAGGAACUCUCUCUGUGGGCCCGGGUUCACCAGGAAUGAGGCCACUUUGGAAUAAUCUCAAGGUUGCAGGAUGAAUAGAUCUCCAGCCAGGGCACUCGGUCCCAGUUGUGGAGAGACUCAACGGAGGCCGGAUCGCCUCCACUCGUGAUCAGUGGGACAAUUUCCUGCAUCCAAGUUGUGCCUGAAUAAAGAAAACAGCCCAUUCCAAAUGGGUAUGUUUAGAACAGGCACUUCACUAGUGUGUGUAAAUUACUGUUAUCAUAUGAUCCUCUGGAAAAAAGGAUUUAAGAAAGUUGUUUCAGAGUAGAGGUUCUUCUCUCACUAACUGUCUGUGAAAGUAGCAGACAAACUGACUGCAGCUAAGUUUAAUAAGUGACAACCGAUAUGAGGAACCCUACAUUGCAACCAGCAAACAUUGUAGGCCAAUGUUUGUCGGUUGCUGGCUCACCAUUUAAUAAUUACAAGCUGUGGCUGAAUGUUUACACUUAUUUGCUAAUGUUUGUCUCGUUUCCAAAUAAUAUUCCACAUUCACAAAUGGUGCUCACUGUGGGAUAGAAACAAUACGUGUGUGCAGACCUGCAAUAAAGUAGUUCUUGGUUGUCAGCAACAAAAAGUAACCUUGACCUGCUAUUUUUGUUGAGGUAAACUGAAAGACGCUGUAUGGGCUGAGUUUUAUUUACAUGUGCUCCAAUAAGAAGAGUCCGAGGUAAAUAAUUCCUCCUGUUUGCAGGUGACACAAAUAUUUUUUGUUCUGGCCUGAAUAUGAUUUAGUUGAAGAUAGUUACAGAUAGUGUUUGUAAAACAGUAAAACUUAAGAUGAUGAAAAUGUGUUUUUAAUCGAAAUAACAGUAAAUUCAUGACUUUUGGUGAUUAAAAACGUAUGAUGAAAUCAAGAUGGUUAUAGAGUUCAUAUUGAAAGAGUUUCUGAGGCAAAAUUUGAGGUUACUUACUGUAAUAAAUGACAAACUUACUAUGAAACCACUCAUAGAGUAUAUAAAGGGGAAGUGAGCAAAAGUAAUGUAGUCUUGUAUGAAGCAAAGGAGAAUUUAGACACAAAGAGCAUUAAGACUUAAAAACAAAGUCAAUGUAAGAGAACAUACCUAUAAACUGUUUAAGAAGUCACAUGUGUUGAAAGGUAAAGAUGUAGUUGUCUUACAAAUAGUAUUUGUUAUAUUGAAAUGUUGAAAUGAAAGGAAAUCAGUAAAAGAGAUGACCAUUUUGAUAUAUUGUUUGUAUGAAAGGAGCCUCUGA
Molecule: non-coding RNA, 1353 nt
Organism: Paralichthys olivaceus (Japanese flounder)
Lineage: Eukaryota; Metazoa; Chordata; Actinopteri; Pleuronectiformes; Paralichthyidae
Source: RefSeq, a predicted model, not a curated record